This 305-nucleotide ribosomal RNA is filed under the name uncultured bacterium. RNAcentral describes it as "bacterial SSU rRNA". It matches the Rfam family "Bacterial small subunit ribosomal RNA", at positions 338 to 660 of the family's 1533-position model. The record is from RNAcentral.
CCUACGGGGGGCAGCAGUGGGGAAUAUUGCACAAUGGGGGAAACCCUGAUGCAGCGACGCCGCGUGAGGGAAGAAGGUUUUCGGAUUGUAAACCUCUGUCCUUGGUGACGAAAGAAGACGGUAGCCAAGGAGGAAGCCACGGCUAACUACGUGCCAGCAGCCGCGGUAAUACGUAGGUGGCAAGCGUUGUCCGGAAUUACUGGGUGUAAAGGGAGCGUAGGCGGGAGGAUAAGUUGGACGUAUAAACUAUCGGCUCAACCGGUAGAGGCGUUCAAAACUGUCCUUCUUGAGUGAAGUAGAGGUAA